GCUUCGGUAGCUCAGUCGGCAGAGCGCGUGCCUUUUAAGCCCGUGGCCGCGGGUUCGAGCCCCGCCCGAGGUG
This 73-nucleotide transfer RNA is filed under the name Perkinsus marinus ATCC 50983. It matches the Rfam family "tRNA". Rfam says of the family: Transfer RNA (tRNA) molecules are approximately 80 nucleotides in length. Their secondary structure includes four short double-helical elements and three loops (D, anti-codon, and T loops). The record is from Rfam by way of RNAcentral. Lineage: Eukaryota; Perkinsozoa; Perkinsida; Perkinsidae.